GUGAUUAAGGGUUGGACAAAUAAACUGUAAUUGAACGUAUAGACGUUGAUUAAAUAAGCAGUAACAUUUCAACAUUUAUAUAUGUAGGCCUAUAUGUUGAUCAAAACAAAAUAAAUCAGGUCCAAAGAGAAUGUUGUGGUCACAGAACCUUUAUACUCGACACAUAGGCCUACCAUCCAGCCGUGUUUAAUUUGACAUUAUGUCUAUCAUGAAAACAUUUAAUUCAAGUAAUGUGGCACUAUAUGUUGGUUAAAGAAAACACCUAUUUAAAGUCCCUUCAAAUAAUGUAUAAACCAGCAUAUAUGCUGCCAAAAAUAAUAAUAAUCAGUGUAUCCCAACAGAGGCGGACUAUAACAUUGUAAAAAUAAUGAAUUAAAAGUGAAUCCUUGCUUUUUAUUGAUUAUGAAAAUGAACAGGCACCUAUAACAUGGAACUUGCACAUCCCAAAAAAACAAACGUAAAUAACACAUCCCCAUUAGUGUUGAUCACUCACUACAAGCAGCAAGCUAAGAAUCCAAACUACAGUGAAAUGGGUGUGUGUGUGUGUGUGUGUGUGUGUGUGUGUAAGAGGGGUACUGGAUUAUUUGGUGGUGGAAAUGACAAGAGACAGAUGGACCCUUGUCAACUUUCUAACAAAAAUGUAAUCUCCAUGGAUCUAUACUGCUCAUUAAACAGAAACUUGUUGCAUCCCUGCCCCUCUAAUGCCACUGUGACUGUAUUUACAAUCAUUUCAUCCCCGUCGCCAUUUCUCACAGCACACCCUAAACCGCAUUGAGAGCACUACUAAUGAAGCUAAUACAAAACAAGUCAUUGGUUAAAUAGAAAUCUAGGUUAUCAAUAUAGUUUUUAGGAUAGCAUCAUGGUCAUCCCCUCUCUACCGUUUUUCUAUUAUCACAUUCACUCAAGAUGCAUUGAA
This is a long non-coding RNA of Gadus macrocephalus (Pacific cod), 916 nucleotides long. RefSeq lists it as uncharacterized. The transcript is spliced from 2 exons. The record is from RefSeq and is a predicted model, not a curated record. NCBI's taxonomy places the organism in Eukaryota, Metazoa, Chordata, Actinopteri, Gadiformes, Gadidae.